CAGAACUGAAAGAGCUUCUUCAGAGCUUUGGAAGUAUCUAGCUUCUGUUCUGCUUCUACUUCUGGGGGUCUCUACUAUUGGAGUACCAAGCUUGCUGGCCCAAAAUGGUCACCAUUUGCUUCAUGGAUAACUGGCUGGUAUAUUGAGAUGAUUUCUUCGGAGCAAUUCUUGACAACAUUUGUAGUUGAGGCCUUUAGAAUGGAAGAAUGUAUUUCACUAAUUUUUGUAUACAUUUCUUGUUUUGUAUUUAGUGAUAAAGGAAUCUGAAUUGGGCAUAAAUUAUGUUGUAAUAUGAUUUCUUAAGCCUAGACUAGUAGACUAAAUAUUGUAAUUACAUUUGA
Long non-coding RNA from Humulus lupulus (European hop), 341 nucleotides. RefSeq lists it as uncharacterized. The transcript has 3 exons. NCBI's taxonomy places the organism in Eukaryota, Viridiplantae, Streptophyta, Magnoliopsida, Rosales, Cannabaceae. The record is from RefSeq and is a predicted model, not a curated record.